Molecule: small nucleolar RNA, 148 nt
Filed under: Tupaia belangeri (northern tree shrew)
Lineage: Eukaryota; Metazoa; Chordata; Mammalia; Scandentia; Tupaiidae
Description: Small nucleolar RNA SNORA57 (ENSTBEG00000020348.1)
Rfam family: Small nucleolar RNA SNORA57
About the family: U99 belongs to the H/ACA class of snoRNAs which are thought to guide the sites of modification of uridines to pseudouridines, the target for this family is unknown.
Source: RNAcentral
CCUCCUUCUCUUGGCAAAGACCAGACAUGUGGUCCUGCUCCAUAACACGUACAGAGGCAGAGAAAAGGGGCUCCAGCCAUCUUGUCAUCAUGUCUUUGAUGCCGAUAUCUUCCUAUCUACUGAUUCUAUCCUCAAGUACAAGGAACAG